UAACCCAUAUUUUUAGAUCUUUGAUUUUGAUAAAAAAUAAUUUCAAAAUCAUUACUUUUGGAAAAUAUCAUUUUAGUCCCUAAAAGACAAUUUCUUAAAAUUUGGCCAUAUCUAAAAAAAACUUUUAGAGAUGAAAGCAACCUUGAGCCAUCACAAUUAAUUAAUUGAAAUUCACAAUGAAUAGAAUUAAACAAAGUAUAAAUAAAAAUACUUU
RNAcentral lists this long non-coding RNA (214 nucleotides) under Manihot esculenta (cassava). RNAcentral's name for it is "long non-coding RNA (MESC_LNC002808)". Lineage: Eukaryota; Viridiplantae; Streptophyta; Magnoliopsida; Malpighiales; Euphorbiaceae. The record is from RNAcentral.